RNAcentral lists this ribosomal RNA (468 nucleotides) under uncultured diatom. RNAcentral describes it as "SSU rRNA". It matches the Rfam family "Bacterial small subunit ribosomal RNA", at positions 217 to 699 of the family's 1533-position model. The record is from RNAcentral. Lineage: Eukaryota; Bacillariophyta.
GCCUAAAGAGAAGCUCGCGGCUGAUUAGCUUGUUGGUGAGGUAAUAGCUCACCAAGGCGACGAUCAGUAUCUGGUUUGAGAGGACGAUCAGACACACUGGAACUGAGACACGGUCCAGACUCCUACGGGAGGCAGCAGUAGGGAAUUUUCCGCAAUGGGCGAAAGCCUGACGGAGCAAUACCGCGUGAGGGAUGACGGCCUAUGGGUUGUAAACCUCUUUUUUCAGGGAGGAAUAAAUGACGUGUACCUGAAGAAUAAGCAUCGGCUAACUCCGUGCCAGCAGCCGCGGUAAGACGGAGGAUGCAAGUGUUAUCCGGAAUCACUGGGCGUAAAGCGUCUGUAGGUGGUCCAAUAAGUCAACUGUUAAAUCUUGAGGCUCAACCUCAAAACCGCAGUCGAAACUAUUAGACUAGAGUAUAGUAGGGGUAAAGGGAAUUUCCAGUGGAGCGGUGAAAUGCGUAGAUAUUG